This is an RNA transcript of Micropterus dolomieu (smallmouth bass), 3865 nucleotides long. It is a transcript of the gene named ubiquitin-conjugating enzyme E2R 2, with no coding region annotated. NCBI's taxonomy places the organism in Eukaryota, Metazoa, Chordata, Actinopteri, Centrarchiformes, Centrarchidae. The record is from RefSeq and is a predicted model, not a curated record. The transcript is spliced from 7 exons.
GUUCUGCAGACACGCGCAAUGAUAGCCGGAAGCACCGAUGAGAGGAAAAUAAAAAUCGAUGAAAUCCACAGUGAUUCGCGAGUGUAAACCUACCACUUAACUGUCCUUUGCGCGACCGCGGGCUCGAAUUGAUCAGACUUUCACACUGCCACUGUGCCGGAGGGGACGGCAGAGAGCAGAGGAGCUGCUCCGUGUCAACCAAGUUGCUCGGUGGGGGUUUAGCUGACGUGUGGAGAAGUUGAGACUGCCAGAGAGCAGAUAAACAAACAUAAACAAGCAGGGAUCAGCUGAGCGCCUGCCCGAACCGAACCAGCAGCACGGAGAGAUGUCACGGGGGACGAGUUUCCUCUUUUGAGCCCAAGAAUGAUCCACAGGAGACCGUGACUUACACUGAUACCAGCUCCAUCUGAUACCAGCUCCAUGUCAACUGUCAACACUGGCACACAAAGAAUUUCAGCACGAGGACCAGCCAUAGGCUCUAUCAGAAAAUCCAGUCACUGUCUCUGUGUCAAGACAUAGCCAGCCUAGCAUGGACAACCAAUGAGUUUACCUUCAGGUUUUCAGCUGUAACGAAACGAACACAUAUUACAGUGCCAGGAGACAGAGGUGUCAGAGGUGGGAUUAACAUGGCCCAACAGGCAACCCCUAGUUCCCAGAAGGCCCUGAUGAUGGAGCUGAAGUCUCUGCAGGAGCAGCCGGUCGAGGGCUUCCGCAUCACUCUGGUGGAGGAAUCUGACCUCUACAACUGGGAAGUGGCCAUCUUCGGCCCCCCAAACACCCUGUAUGAGGGAGGCUAUUUCAAGGCACACAUCAAGUUCCCAGUUGACUACCCGUACUCCCCACCGACCUUCCGCUUCCUCACUAAGAUGUGGCAUCCCAACAUCUACGAGAACGGAGAUGUGUGCAUCUCCAUCCUGCACCCUCCUGUCGAUGACCCUCAGAGCGGGGAGCUACCCUCUGAAAGGUGGAACCCCACCCAGAACGUCAGGACUAUCCUGCUUAGUGUGAUCUCUCUGCUCAAUGAGCCCAACACCUUCUCCCCGGCCAACGUGGAUGCGUCUGUCAUGUUUCGCAAAUGGAGGGACAGCAAAGGCAAGGACAAGGAGUACGCAGAGAUUAUCAGGAAGCAGGUGAUGUCAACAGCAGCAGACGCCGAGCGCGAUGGCGUCAAGGUGCCAACCACAUUGGCAGAGUACUGCGUCCAGACACGGGUUCCCUCCCAGGACAGCAGUUCAGACCUUCUCUAUGAUGACCUCUAUGACGACGACAUGGAGGAGGAGGACGAGGAGGAAGACGAGAGCGAGAUGGAGUCUGUAGGUGAAGCCGGGGGGAUCAGCGCCGCAGAGGACUGCGGGACGUCCACCAGACGUUACGACAACCAGGACGACUCUGGCAACGAAGACUCGUGAUGAUCUGGAUGAUAACUCCUCCCUGCAAACUCCGCCCACAACCCUCCCUCUUUGAUGUGUUGCGGUUGUGUGUGUGUGUGUGUGCGUGUGUGUGUGUGUGUGCGUGUUUGCACAUACAGUGGGGUCGAAGGUCUACUGCCAAAAACUUUUCAUCAUUUAUUAAACUAAUACACAUGACUAGUCAAAUAAUAGUUCUCAAAUGCUAUUACAAACAUUUUCAGGAAAUGUUUGCUGGUUCUGUUUUCACUUAAAGUCAGAGCUCGCUGUUUCCACCGUUUGCCUUAAUCACAGCCUGCACUCUGUCCGGCAUCAGAUGUUUUGAGAAGUGAAAUAAUUCCAGCACUGUUUGAGUGUUUUUUGCGUUUUAUUUCACGCUUCUGCAGAAUAGAGUGGUGUUACUCUACGUCUGUGUGCAAUUAAUUAUGUGCAAGUUACUGACUCCAGACAAGGCCAUACACAGAGUACACACAGUAUUUCUGUCACUUUGUUUAACUCUAGUUUAUAGUCGCUCUUUCAUGCAAGCAACUCCUCACAUGCUGCGGUGUAAGUUGUUUGGUUGCAGCUAUGAAGUAGAUUUUUCUUUAGUACAACAACACAAGUUUCUUUAAUUCUUCAACAAUGAAAUUUCUGAAUUGUUUAAUCCAUGCUAAACCAUUUGACCUGUUUUUCCAUUACACAAGUAGUUUGGUAACUGCUACAGUUUCUUUGUCUGUUAACUGUAGUUUUGUUGUUGCAUCUUGGAUGCAGAUGCAGUUCUGUCUCACAAGGAUAUUGGCUUUAUACUGUGGUGCCAUCUGUAGGUCUGGUCCCAGUCCCUUUUUUCAUGUUCAGGCAUUGCCAGUAUUAACAGUAACAGUUACUUGGAACAUAAUAAUUAACAUUGUGUUGGAGCAUACAUGUCCUAAUAUUUCAAUUAUACUGCAUACAUGGUGAAACAAACAUUUUAGACAAUCUCCUAUCUCAUAUACAAGUAUAUCAAUUACUUAAAAGCACUUCCCAAAGAUCCAAAGAUAAAACUCUCACGUAUCAGUUUUAAGUAAUGUGUGUGUUUUUUAUUUGAAAACCUACCCACAAAGUAAACAACUUGUCUUAGUUUUUGAUAAAUGAUGAAAACAAACUGUCCUUGUGGUGGUCACUUGAACCCUGCUGUAGCUGGCCGGCUCUUCGUCUGGCUGUUCCAUGUCCGAUUGUAUGGUUUUGUGUUAUAAGAUUAGCUCUCUCCACUGUGUCUGCACUCAUUGCUGGGUUUUUUCUCCUAUGUACUUCUUUUAUUUAGUUGGUUGAUGUUCUGUCCUCCCUGACUUGUCCCUUGCAUUUCCCAGGAUGGCACAGACAGGCUGGCUAAUGGCCACUUGGCUGUUUGGCUCAUUAACCAGUCCAUGAGCUGGCCAGCUUGUCCUGUCACUAUCCAUCAUUGUGUCCCGUGGCAGAAUAUCUUUGUCCCUCUCACGCCCUGUCUGUUCGACUUUGAUGCAGUCAACUUAAACUUGCAGACACAGGCUCUGCCGUGACUCUUCCCCCUCUUGGACCCACCUUCAGUAGUGUCCAUCACAACUGCUCCCUCAUAAUCCCUCAAAGCAACGUCAUUUGGUUUUUGGGGGGGACAAGGUUAAGACCUUUUCUCACGUCGCCUCCUACACCCCUCUCUGCCUCUUAAACCUCAGGGCCUCAAUAGACUUUCACUGAGAGAGAAACAGAAACAGUCAGAGAAACUUAACACACAAACUGCUCCUCACCUCCACCUCCUUUUCUUACUUUCUGCAUCACCGGGUGGUUUUUGAGGGCAGAGGGUGAACUGAAAGUGGCCAAUCCCACCGCCAGCGUGGUUACACGUGAUUGAGUGUCGCUGUUGGUCCUGAUCAGGGUCCUGUAAGUUGUUUUCUUCUUGGUAGGCUAGAGUCAAAAAUAAAAUAAAAAAAAUCUAAACACACCUGUAGGGACUCUCUCCUCGAGACAAUGCUCACAUUAUGUUGCGAUAGAUGUGAAAAUGUUACCUUUUGACUCCAACUUCAGCUUAAAUGCAACUUUUUUCAAAUUUGGACGUCGUUACUGUGCUACGCCAUCAGUCUGUUCAUCGACAGGGACGAAAUCAUCCAGCUUAGCUACACAUUUACAUUUGAAUGAAUAUGACACUGAUUGCCUGUUAUCUGUGUGUGUGUGUAUUUACAUCUAUUGACUAUAAUGUCAGGGUUUUCUUGUUCCCGUCUGUGCAACAGGUGCAGACUUCUGUCACACGUGUGUGUUUGCCCAGAUGACAGGUUGGACUUCGUCAAGUGGGGAAAACACUGUGUGUUUGCACUGUGUUCUUGUGCUGUUUUGGGAGGCCUGAAUUAGCUGAGGGUUUGACUGAUAAAAAAAACAACCCUCCGAGUAUUAACCUUUUGAGCACACUGAAGAGAAUAAUGUGACUAAUAUCACUUGUAAGGCAUCAAGUAAACCACACAUUUUGACCUGUG